AUACCUUCAUCUUCACUUAACCCCUUCUUAACAAAGAGCAAUUCUAUAUCUCUAUAGAAAAUUUUAUGUUAAAACUAGUAAUAAGAAGCUAGCCCUUCUCUUUAAUGCAAACUUACAUCAGCCAGGACACCCCACUGAUUAUUAACGUCCCUAAAACCAUUGUAAUAACUAAUCAAGAAAAUAUUACCUUCUCCUACGUUAACCUAACACAAGAGCAUUUUAAGAAAGAUUAAAAGAAAAAGAAGGAACUCGGCAAAUUUUAGCCUCGCCUGUUUACCAAAAACAUCGCCUCUUGAGUACUAAUAAGAGGUCAUGCCUGCCCAGUGACUCUGUUCAACGGCCGCGGUAUCCUAACCGUGCGAAGGUAGCGUAAUCACUUGUUCUUUAAAUGAGGACUAGUAUGAAUGGCCCCACGAAGGCUACACUGUCUCCUUUUUCUAAUCAAUGAAACUAAUCUUCUCGUGAAGAAGCGAGAAUAAUUUUAUAAGACGAGAAGACCCUAUGGAGCUUUAAACAACUGAAAUAUUUGCUUUAACUUUAUAUUCUUCCCGAGUUUUUCCUGCAUUCAAGCAUUUUAAUUUCUAGUUUUAGGUUGGGGUGACCACGGAGCAAAAUUUAACCUCCAUGACGAAUUAAGCAUUUUCCUUUAAACUAAAAGCUACUACUUUAAGCAUCAACAAAUUGACUUUCAUUGACCCAAUAUUUUGAUCAACGAACCAAGUUACCCUAGGGAUAACAGCGCAAUCUACUUCGAGAGCUCAUAUCGACAAGUAGGUUUACGACCUCGAUGUUGGAUCAGGGUAUCCCAGUGGUGCAGCCGCUACUAAAGGUUCGUUUGUUCAACGAUUAAAACC
RNAcentral lists this ribosomal RNA (854 nucleotides) under Leucostethus fraterdanieli (Santa Rita rocket frog). RNAcentral describes it as "partial 16S ribosomal RNA". It matches the Rfam family "Bacterial large subunit ribosomal RNA", at positions 1451 to 2595 of the family's 2925-position model. The record is from RNAcentral. Lineage: Eukaryota; Metazoa; Chordata; Amphibia; Anura; Dendrobatidae.